UAAUUUAGACCAAAAAUUUAUUAAUUCAUAAUUAAUUAAUGAUUCCAGAAUUAAUUAAUAAAAUAUUUUUAUUUUUUAAUAAAAUUAUUAAUUCAUAAUAUUUAAUGUUUAUAUUUUUUUGUUAAAUAAAAUUAAACCAAUUAAAGACAAAACAAAAAAUAAAAUCAUUGAAUUUAUUAAAAUUUAAAAUUAAACUAAAUAAAAAAUUUAGAUAAAAAUUUAAAAUCUACUAACAAAAGAAUUAAAUUUAGUUAAAUUUCGAAACAACCAUAUAAGAUCAAAAUUAUAUUAUAUCAAAUCAUUAAUAUUGCAAAAAUUUUAAUUAAUUAAUAAAAUUAUAAGAAUUAAGUACUAAUAAAAAAUAUUAUAUUUAAAUGAAGUAAAAUAUUUAAUUUAACGGAAUAAAAUAAUUUAAAUUUUAUUUCAUAAAUAUAUAGCAACAUAAAUUAAAACAAAUUUUUAAUAUUUUAGCGACAGAAUAUUAAUUUGUUGCUAAAAAUUGAGUUUCAGCAACCAUGUACAUGGUCGCUAAUUAUUCAAUCUUAUAGUGACGUUAGGUUAUGUCGCUAUUAAUUAUCGUUUGUCGCUAAAAUUAAUUUAGGAAAGAAAAAAGUG
RNAcentral lists this long non-coding RNA (615 nucleotides) under Ananas comosus (pineapple). Its description in RNAcentral is "long non-coding RNA (ACOM_LNC043567)". Lineage: Eukaryota; Viridiplantae; Streptophyta; Magnoliopsida; Poales; Bromeliaceae. The record is from RNAcentral.